Molecule: non-coding RNA, 1052 nt
Organism: Kogia breviceps (pygmy sperm whale)
Lineage: Eukaryota; Metazoa; Chordata; Mammalia; Artiodactyla; Physeteridae
Source: RefSeq, a predicted model, not a curated record
CUCAUUUCUUGGUUACAGUCCUUCCUGAGGUGUCACGGCAUUAUCCCUUUGGAUCGAGACAUUUUUGUGUUCCUAUAAAAGGCUCCCUAUCAGUGCACAUAAUCCGUAAGGAGUGUUGAAACAUCACUGGAAAUGUAAUUAGAUGGAGAAAAUUCUGAUCACCUGAACUUCUCUAAGAGACUAUUACACAUAGUUGGAAGCAAUAGUUUGAUUAGCCAGUUAGGGGGAGACUCUAUUAAAGGGUUUACUUAAUACUGUCCCAUCAAGCUGUUGAUAAGACUUGUAAGAGGAAAAGGGAUGAGGGUGUCCGCUUAACUGCAGGGUUUUUGUUUUCUCCAGUGGGUAUGAACCUCAGGGGGGCGAGAAGUUGAGUUGCUUUGGACAAGAGGGCAGAGACUGAGUACUCUUCAGCCAUCCCCUAUGCAGAGAUCAGCUUUUCUACUGAGAACAGUUGAAGAAAUAGUCCAAGAAUACUCAAAGAAAACGUUUGAUAAGAUGCCAAAUUGUUCUAUAAGACAGGGCCGGUGGGAAGUCAGAAGAAACUAUGUAGCUUCCUAAACAUGAAAGAUGAGAGAGGCACAAGGAGCUAGAGACCAAGGCAGAUGCUGAAACUCAGGAGGCUGGUCAUUGAGGAUGCAGCGAAAGAGUGCAAGGGCACCUAAGACACUACAAAGACUAAGGCUGUGCUUCUCCAGUUGGGGGACCUGUGCCCUUACAGGCAAUCAGACGGGAAGUUACAGAAUAAUUACAGCAUAUCUUCUUGGAAUUAUCAAAUUUUCUCCAUUUCUACAAGAAAACCUCAUUUCAUUGUGCUUUUGUUUUACUGUGCUUCACAGAUGUCGCAUUUUUUACAAACUGAAGGUUUGUGUCAACCCUGCAUCAAGCAAGUUUAUUAGGACCAUUUUUCCAACAGCAUUUGCUCACUUCAUGUCAUUAUGUCCCGUUUUGGGAAUUCUCACAAUAUUUUACAAUUUUCAUUAUUCAUCUAUUUGUUGUGGUAAUCUGUGAUCACUGAACUUUGAUGUUACCAUUGCAACUCAAAGAAGGCUCAA